RNAcentral lists this ribosomal RNA (475 nucleotides) under uncultured bacterium. Its description in RNAcentral is "bacterial SSU rRNA". It matches the Rfam family "Bacterial small subunit ribosomal RNA", at positions 15 to 507 of the family's 1533-position model. The record is from RNAcentral.
GAUCAUGGCUCAGAUUGAACGCUGGCGGCAUGCUUUACACAUGCAAGUCGAACGGCAGCACGGGCUUCGGCCUGGUGGCGAGUGGCGAACGGGUGAGUAAUGCAUCGGAACGUGCCCAUGUUGUGGGGGAUAACUACGCGAAAGCGUGGCUAAUACCGCAUACGCCCUGAGGGGGAAAGCGGGGGAUUCUUCGGAACCUCGCGCAAUUGGAGCGGCCGAUGUCAGAUUAGCUUGUUGGUGAGGUAAAGGCUCACCAAGGCGACGAUCCAUAGCUGGUCUGAGAGGAUGAUCAGCCACACUGGGACUGAGACACGGCCCUGACUCCUACGGGAGGCAGCAGUGGGGAAUAUUGGACAAUGGGCGAAAGCCUGAUCCAGCAAUGCCGCGUGAGUGAUGAAGGCCUUAGGGUUGUAAAGCUCUUUUACCCGGGAUGAUAAUGACAGUACCGGGAGAAUAAGCUCCGGCUAACUUCGUG